Vicugna pacos (alpaca) is the source of this 3118-nucleotide non-coding RNA. Lineage: Eukaryota; Metazoa; Chordata; Mammalia; Artiodactyla; Camelidae. The record is from RefSeq and is a predicted model, not a curated record.
GCAUUCGUUCUUCCAUUUAAUAAAUGCACCCUGAGCGCCCACUGGGGGCCAGGCACUAACCCAGGAGACGGAAGUACAAGCCACCCAGAAAUCACUUGGAUUUCGCCCAAGUCGGAGGAAGUUGAUUUUUAAAGCCUCAGCUCUGCCAUUUCUAAACUGAAUGAAGUUGACCUCCCUGAACUUUUGUUCCUCAUCAGUAAACGACACACAAAUUAGAGCUGUCAGGAGAACUGAGCAGCAAAAAGCGUGAGGUCAGUGCCGCAGUGUGCACACUUAUUGUUAAUUACAGAUGAAGGAGCCCCAAGCUCAACGUUAAGGGGCUUGGACCAGGUGUUCAGUGGACAGCCCGUUGUGCUCUUGCGUCCAACUGGGAGAAAGGCUGCUUCCACCGAGAAGCCAGAGACGGCUGCCUGGAGGAGGAUACAAAGCAGCAUUCCUUCAGUAGCUCGUAUGAAUCUGGUCCCUUCAAAACAUCCUGGUCAAGUACGUGGGCCUAAAGGAGCUACCCAUUUCACAGAGGAGGAAACUGAGACCAAGCAAGAAGAAGGCCCAACCAGGGACCACUUGGCCUGAGAGUUGGCAGCCCUGGGAUUCGAACCUCCCGCCCGCCAAGACGCCUGCGCUGGUCGCAUGGCCCUGCCCGUUGCCUUGGAAACGGUGCCGCACGCGCGUACUGCUUCCCCUUGCUUGUUCUUCCGCGAGCACCCUCGUUCUUUUUUAAAUAAAAACCUAAGGCGGCGGGAUACUGCCAGCGACUGAACGUGCUGUCGAAGCACGCCGCUACGUCCGCUCUCCGCCCUGGGCCGCAGAUCCCUCCGCCGCCCGGCGGCCCGCGCGCUUCUUCCCGACAGCAAGCUCGAAACGACUUCCCGCGCGCCGCGCCGCGCCCCUCCCCCACCUUAUCCCCACCCCAACCCCCAGCCCGGCUCACCUGCCGCCCGCGUCUCCAUGGCAACGCCCCCACCGCGGAGGAAAAAAAAGCCUCGGGCCCUUCCGGGCCCCCUCCCGCGCCGACCGAGAAGGCGGGGCGACUCACUGAUGCUUCGCUUUUUAUUUUUAUUUUUUUAAGAAAAGAGCCGGCGCGGUUAUGGCGAAUCUGCGGCAUCCAACAUGGCGGAUGGAGUCUUUGCCCUCCUCUUCAGGGGCGCUGACGCCGGCGUCGCGGACGUCAGCCUCGAUGACCCUCCCCCAGCGCCGAGCGCGGCCAGGCUGGGCCGGGCUACUGCGCAUGCUCAGAUCCGCGGCUGUGCUUUGCGCCCCGUUCCGCGGAUUCCGUCGCUCCGCGUUUUGAUCCUCUCCUGAGAAGGAGCUCACGGGAUGCCUGGAAACGGGUUGCAGGUUUGGGAGUCUCCCCAGUUCUACCCCGAACCUGCAGCUACCUGCCGGCCCAUCCUUGGACCCACGCGGUGUGGAGCCACUGGGCUGGACGUGGAAGGAGGUCAGCGUUCGCGUUCCAGUUGUCAGCGCUUUAACUUGUCUUGACCUCGGUUUACUAACUUGUCGGUCGGAAUGGUUACCGCCUGCCCCCUUCUCAAAUGUUGCAGUUUUUCCUGAAGUGGGAUGCUUUCCGCUGGGAGUACCCGACUUGAUUUAGCCAUAGGCAGAAUUAGACAACCUGGAACCACCUUGACAGAGCAACUGCCUGCUCUUCGUCCUCCUGAUCGUCUUGCAGAAAGUCUCAGUUGGGUGUGAGCACGCGUCCCUAGCACUUGCUCAUCUCCCUGAACCUGGCUCACAGCCUUCCUUCUGCAGGCAACAGUAUCUGGUUGAGACGUAAUGACCUCAUUUUCCUUUUUGGUGUUAAGGUGGUUAGUCUACCACUUCCUUCAGAUCUCUGCUCAAAUGACAUCUAGCCGGCCCUCCUGGACCACCCCAUCCAAAGUAACCCUCCUAAAUCACUUUCUAUUUUCUGCGUCGUAUCUAUUACUGCCUAACAGUAAUAGAUCUCGUCUUGGUCACCCCUUUGGCCUCAGAAACUGGAAGAACCUGACAGUUAAUCUGUUGGACUAAUUAAUGAGUUGGUGUUGCUUCUAUUUUUAAGUUUAGUUGUCACAAUUAGUUUGUAACAAAUGAUACAGGUUUUCAUUUAUGGUAGUAAUUGUAUAGAGUUUUGUUUUUAAACCCAGUUUAUUUACAUUUUUAAAAAUUCAUCAACUUAAAAUGGUACAUCCGAUGUGGUACAGAGACAAGGCAAAAAAAUGUAAACGUGAACUUCAAGUGAGAAACCUGGGAAAUACUGAUUUACUUUUAUGGUUCUCCUGAAAUGCUAAUCUGCCUGUUGUCUUUUCCUGGAGUAACCUCCCUACUUUGCUGCCCAACUUGAGAAAUCCUCCUUCAGCGCACGUCUGGCGUUCCCACGUCCCCAUUAGUCCUUCCUGCACAUCGUCCCCGCGCCCAUUGUGUUUAUCCGUUUGCGCAGCCCUCACCCCGUGAGCUGGACCGUGUGCUUCUUGAGCAGAGAAGCCAUGCAGGUCUCUUCCAUCCUUGUUCCCAGCUCCCUCUGCACACUGGUGCUACUCAGUCAUCCCUUCUGUUCCUGUUGUCACUUGUUUUCCAGUUAGUAAAACUCCCUUGAACACUGAGCUUUAGGAUAGUCUGUCAGACUUCUGUCUUGCUCCUUAAUCCUGUUCUUGGGAAAUGAGUCAUUGUUAAGACCCCAGUUUUACCCAGCCCAUCAGAUAUAUGUUCAGAGAUAGCUCCUCCCCUGACCCCUUCAUUUCAUCCUCACAGCAACUGAGGAGGGGAAGUGAAAUUGGACAGAUAGGAUUAUGCUUCUUUCCUAAAAGAAAAGGAAUGUUCAGAGAGGUUAUGUGGCUUUCUGAGAUCACACAGCAAGCCAAUGAGGACCCAGGUGUGGAACUGGUAUCUCCAUGCCCAGAAUUCUCCCCACUUUACCACAGGGCCACCUGGGAUGUACCCACACUACCCACCACACCCCAGAAAGAGCCGAUUCCAAGGCAAUGGUAGGGUGAUUGCUGCACACCCGUCACAUCCUAUAUCCCAAAAUUGGAUGGCUGGGUGAAGCCCAUCACCACCUUUCAUUUGGAAAUGAACUGCUCAAAAAGCUUCAUUGAUAAGCUUUCCCUUUUAGAACAAUAAAUAUUUGCAAUAACCACUA